RNAcentral lists this unclassified non-coding RNA (229 nucleotides) under plant metagenome. Its description in RNAcentral is "partial contains small subunit ribosomal RNA, internal transcribed spacer 1, and 5.8S ribosomal RNA". The record is from RNAcentral.
UCUCCGUAGGUGAACCUGCGGAGGGAUCAUUACAGAGUUCAUGCCCUACCGGGUAGAUUUCCCACCCUAUGUUAUUAUUACUUUGUUGCUUUGGCGGGCCGUUAGGCUCCGGCCCGACUACCGGCCCCGGCUGGUAAGCGCCCGCCAGAGGACCCAAAACCCUGAAUAUUAGUGUCGUCUGAGUACUAUAUAAUAGUUAAAACUUUCAACAACGGAUCUCUUGGUUCUG